GAUGAACGCUGGCGGCGUGCCUAAUACAUGCAAGUCGAGCGAACAGACGAGGAGCUUGCUCCUCUGACGUUAGCGGCGGACGGGUGAGUAACACGUGGAUAACCUACCUAUAAGACUGGGAUAACUUCGGGAAACCGGAGCUAAUACCGGAUAAUAUAUUGAACCGCAUGGUUCAAUAGUGAAAGACGGUUUUGCUGUCACUUAUAGAUGGAUCCGCGCCGCAUUAGCUAGUUGGUAAGGUAACGGCUUACCAAGGCAACGAUGCGUAGCCGGCCUGAGAGGGUGAUCGGCCACACUGGAAAUGGGACACGGUCCAGACUCCUACGGGAGGCAGCAGUAGGGAAUCUUCCGCAAUGGGCGAAAGCCUGACGGAGCAACGCCGCGUGAGUGAUGAAGGUCUUCGGAUCGUAAAACUCUGUUAUUAGGGAAGAACAAAUGUGUAAGUAACUAUGCACGUCUUGCCGGUACCUAAUCAGAAAGCCACGGCUAACUACGUGCCAGCAGCCGCGGUAA
RNAcentral lists this ribosomal RNA (513 nucleotides) under uncultured bacterium. RNAcentral's name for it is "partial 16S ribosomal RNA". It matches the Rfam family "Bacterial small subunit ribosomal RNA", at positions 28 to 523 of the family's 1533-position model. The record is from RNAcentral.